GGGAAACCGGAGCUAAUACCGGAUAAUAUAUUGAACCGCAUGGUUCAAUAGUGAAAGACGGUUUUGCUGUCACUUAUAGAUGGAUCCGCGCCGCAUUAGCUAGUUGGUAAGGUAACGGCUUACCAAGGCAACGAUGCGUAGCCGACCUGAGAGGGUGAUCGGCCACACUGGAACUGAGACACGGUCAAG
Molecule: ribosomal RNA, 189 nt
Filed under: uncultured Staphylococcus sp.
Lineage: Bacteria; Bacillati; Bacillota; Bacilli; Caryophanales; Staphylococcaceae
Description: partial 16S ribosomal RNA
Rfam family: Bacterial small subunit ribosomal RNA
Source: RNAcentral